GGUUACAAUUUACUGAAUCCUGCACCAGCAGGAACGGGGGAACCAACGAAGCAUAAGGCGUGUAAGCACGCUUGUUGCUUCAUGGGGUGAAUCGCUUGGCAGCAGCCAGGCGUAGGGCAACUCUCAGGCCCGAAUCCGACAGCUAACCUCGUAAGUGUACUCGAGAGGGGCA
RNAcentral lists this small RNA (172 nucleotides) under Bacillus sp. (in: firmicutes). Its description in RNAcentral is "Bacillus sp. c-di-AMP sequence". It matches the Rfam family "c-di-AMP riboswitch aptamer (ydaO/yuaA leader)". Rfam says of the family: This family represents a conserved RNA structure found upstream of the ydaO and yuaA genes in Bacillus subtilis and related genes in other bacteria. RNAcentral also lists the same sequence under 1 other name. The record is from RNAcentral. Lineage: Bacteria; Bacillati; Bacillota; Bacilli; Caryophanales; Bacillaceae.